UGUAUACUAACCGUUAUUGGUACACAUUUUACUGUUUUAGAGUGUUUUGUAUACUAUUAAUACGGACGUAUUUGUGGAAUGCAUUUGAUUUGUCCGAUAAGUACACUAUGCGCGUACGUACACUAUUCCGGUGCGAGUAUCGGAGUAAAAUAUCGCCGAAAAGACAUUUUUUUUUUUUUACAUAAAUAGAUAAAUAUUAUAACAUUCGAAAUAGCCGGUCGUUCGGAUUCCUAAAAUAUCAGUCUCGGUACUGGGCGUAUUACGCAUAUUAAUCAUUAUU
Cinara cedri is the source of this 280-nucleotide non-coding RNA. The record is from the annotation of a GenBank genome assembly. Lineage: Eukaryota; Metazoa; Arthropoda; Insecta; Hemiptera; Aphididae.